This 513-nucleotide ribosomal RNA is filed under the name uncultured bacterium. RNAcentral's name for it is "partial 16S ribosomal RNA". It matches the Rfam family "Bacterial small subunit ribosomal RNA", at positions 28 to 523 of the family's 1533-position model. The record is from RNAcentral.
GACGAACGCUGGCGGCGUGCCUAAUACAUGCAAGUCGAGCGAAUCAAUAGGAGCUUGCUCCUGUUGGUUAGCGGCGGACGGGUGAGUAACACGUGGGCAACCUACCUGUAAGACUGGGAUAACUUCGGGAAACCGGAGCUAAUACCGGAUGACACAAAGGAACUCCUGUUCCUUUGUUGAAAGAUGGCUUCGGCUAUCACUUACAGAUGGGCCCGCGGCGCAUUAGCUAGUUGGUGAGGUAACGGCUAACCAAGGCGACGAUGCGUAGCCGACCUGGGAGGGUGAUCGGCCUCACUGGGACUGAUACACGGCCCAGACUCCUACGGGAGGCAGCAGUAGGGAAUCUUCCGCAAUGGACGAAAGUCUGACGGAGCAACGCCGCGUGAGCGAUGAAGGCCUUCGGGUCGUAAAGCUCUGUUGUUAGGGAGGAACAAGUGCUAGUUGAAUAAGCUGGCACCUUGACGGUACCUAACCAGAAAGCCACGGCUAACUACGUGCCAGCAGCCGCAGUAA